Molecule: transfer RNA, 77 nt
Filed under: Camelus bactrianus (Bactrian camel)
Lineage: Eukaryota; Metazoa; Chordata; Mammalia; Artiodactyla; Camelidae
Also listed under: 2 other names
Rfam family: tRNA
About the family: Transfer RNA (tRNA) molecules are approximately 80 nucleotides in length. Their secondary structure includes four short double-helical elements and three loops (D, anti-codon, and T loops).
Source: Rfam by way of RNAcentral
GAGGGUGUAGCUCAGGGGUAGAGUGCAUGCCUAACAUAACAUGCAUGAGGUUCUGGGUUCAAUCCCCAGUACCUCCA